Hippopotamus amphibius kiboko is the source of this 539-nucleotide long non-coding RNA. RefSeq lists it as uncharacterized. The transcript has 3 exons. Lineage: Eukaryota; Metazoa; Chordata; Mammalia; Artiodactyla; Hippopotamidae. The record is from RefSeq and is a predicted model, not a curated record.
CCUCAACGAGCGCGCCAAGCUUUUACGGUGUGCCUGGCUGGCUCCGCGCAAAGUGGUGGCAGAUGCAUCGUGGUGCCUGGCACAUACCAGACUCUGUAUGUGUCAGUUGACUGAGUAAAUGAGUGAACAGCCAGAAAUAAAAUGGGACCAAGAUACAGGAUGAAGUUCUGCUGGACUCUAAGAAACACAUCCAAAUUCUGUAUCGUACCACCAGUCCUUACUUGAAGAUCAACAAGGUCUGUUCCUGCCAUUGUAAGAUCUCUGAGAGGGGUGGAAAUGUUGAUGACAGGCCAGAAUCUGUUCCAAAGACAACUCGUAUGGAAUACACCUCUUAAUCUCCAAGUUGAUUCAUCUGGAUUGCACUUAUAGAGUUCAGAAGAUCAGAAGAUAGAGUUGGGUAACAGCAACAUGUCACUGAAGAUAAGUGAGUGUUGAUGACAGAGUGUACUGGGGAUGAGAAAGGCAGAGAGAAGAGUCAGCUGGCAGUGCUCCGAGGCAUGCAGUAUAUCGUACCUUUCUUAGAAGAGCCUGCCAUCCGC